UACGUAGGGGGCAAGCGUUGUUCGGAUUUAUUGGGCGUAAAGAGCGUGUAGGCGGUCAGGUAGGUCCGUUGUGAAAACUCGAGGCUCAACCUCGAGACGCCGAUGGAAACCAUCUGACUAGAGUCCGGAAGAGGAGAGUGGAAUUCCUGGUGUAGCGGUGAAAUGCGCAGAUAUCAGGAGGAACACCGGUGGCGAAGGCGGUGGGCUGGCCGGCACUGACGCUGGAGGAGCGAAAGCGUGGGAGCGAACAGG
This 252-nucleotide ribosomal RNA is filed under the name uncultured bacterium. RNAcentral describes it as "partial 16S ribosomal RNA". It matches the Rfam family "Bacterial small subunit ribosomal RNA", at positions 524 to 776 of the family's 1533-position model. The record is from RNAcentral.